UACAUGGGGUGCAAACGUUGCUCGGAAUUACUGGGCGUAAAGGGCUCGUAGGCGGCCAACUAAGUCAGACGUGAAAUCCCUCGGCUUAACCGGGGAACUGCGUCUGAUACUGGAUGGCUUGAGUUUGGGAGAGGGAUGCGGAAUUCCAGGUGUAGCGGUGAAAUGCGUAGAUAUCUGGAGAAACACCGGUGGCGAAGGCGGCAUCCUGGACCGGCAUUGACGCUGAGGCGCGAAAGCUAGGGGAGCAAACGGG
Molecule: ribosomal RNA, 253 nt
Filed under: uncultured bacterium
Lineage: Bacteria
Description: partial 16S ribosomal RNA
Rfam family: Bacterial small subunit ribosomal RNA
Source: RNAcentral